AACCUCCGCAAUGUGAGAAAUCGCGACGGGGGGAUCCCAAGUGCCAUUCUUAACGGGAUGGCUUUUCAUUAGUGUAAAGAGCUUUUGGAAUAAGAGCUGGGCAAGACCGGUGCCAGCCGCCGCGGUAACACCGGCAGCUCUAGUGGUAACAAUUUUUAUUGGGCCUAAAGCGUCCGUAGCCGGUUUAAUAAGUCUCUGGUGAAAUCCUGCAGCUUAACUGUGGGAAUUGCUGGAGAUACUAUUAGACUUGAGACCGGGAGAGGUUAGAGGUACUCCCAGGGUAGAGGUGAAAUUCUGUAAUCCUGGGAGGACCGCCUGUUGCGAAGGCGUCUAACUGGAACGGUUCUGACGGUGAGGGACGAAAGUUAGGGGCGCGAACCGGAUUAGAUACCCGGGUAGUCCUAACUGUAAACGAUGCGGACUUGGUGUUGGGGUGGCUUUGAGCUGCUUCAGUGCCGAAGGGAAGCUGUAAGUCCGCCGCCUGGGAAGUACGGUCGCAAGACUGAAACUUAAAGGAAGU
Molecule: ribosomal RNA, 520 nt
Filed under: uncultured bacterium
Lineage: Bacteria
Description: bacterial SSU rRNA
Rfam family: Archaeal small subunit ribosomal RNA
Source: RNAcentral